GAUCACAUAACCACCCCGUAGGGGUGGCUGAUGCUUAAUCAGUAGGUUGAAGGUUCGAUUCCUUCCGCGCUCACCA
This 76-nucleotide transfer RNA is filed under the name Acidobacteriota bacterium. Its description in RNAcentral is "Acidobacteria bacterium tRNA-Lys". The record is from RNAcentral. RNAcentral also lists the same sequence under 1 other name. Lineage: Bacteria; Pseudomonadati; Acidobacteriota.